Hippocampus comes (tiger tail seahorse) is the source of this 1101-nucleotide long non-coding RNA. RefSeq lists it as uncharacterized. The transcript is spliced from 4 exons. The record is from RefSeq and is a predicted model, not a curated record. Lineage: Eukaryota; Metazoa; Chordata; Actinopteri; Syngnathiformes; Syngnathidae.
CAACUGCCUGAUUAAAAAAAGGAAGGUGAGCGAGGGGAGGGGCGGGGCGGAAGAGGACUGUCUCCCACGUGACCACAACACGCUGCAGCGUCGGCGCCGGCGGCGGCUCCUUUAAGAGAGAUGUGGACGUCACGUGCAAGGAUGGCUGCGAGGAUGGAUGGAGAGAUCAUGAGAACGAGGGUGGCGAUGGAGGACCGAGAAGCACCAAACGUCAUCCGCGUAGAUCGCGUGGGGAAAAAAAAGACACCUCCUUCCCUGCCACCUUCCUACCCGAUUUUUUGGAUGUACAGUGUAAAUUGCCGUGCAACCUGGAGUACUCAAUACAAAAAAUUGGGGGUAUUCAUGGCGCUGUGCAUUUGUGGAGUGACUACCAUGCCGUGGGGGAGGUUCCAUUCAUGAAGGAGGUGUGUGAACUUACAAGUCCAAUGGCAAAGCAAGCAGAUUUUUGCUGCACGAAGGCUUCUUCACAUUGAGCAGAGAGAUGAGGCAAAAGAUGAAAAGGAAGAAGAGGAGGAUUGGGAGUGUGGGUGGAAGGAGGGAUGGAUGGAAGACUUUGCAGGAAGCGGCUGAACCCGGAGCAGGUGAACACAGCUGUGGAUCUCCAUGACGGGCCUCGCUGGCUGCCUUCCUCGCACGGGCCCCCCGGCGUUUGCGUUCAGGGGUCCCGGCAAGCUGACAGAGGCCAGGCAGAGUGGGCAGGCGAGGGCGGGCCCGAGCCAGGAGAGAUGCAGGUGAGGCAGGCGAGCCGAGGCGCCCGUCGCCGCCGGCUAGGAGCCUCCGCGCUGUCAAAUCAAUACAGAGGCUAGCAGAGGUUGGCCAGAACCGCCUGCGGGCCCCUUGGAGCCCUGGGACCGACCGCCAGUUCCCACCUCCAUCUUUUUUUUUUCCAGCUUCCUCCAACAGUCCUGGGCCAGAGCCCUCACCCUUGCACCCGCCCCACACAUGGAUGGAUGUUUCGGUGUGGGCUCGGCCCGCAGGGAUUUUUUUUGCCGCUCAAUAAACAUUUUGCCACUGAGAGGCGGGGACGCCAGAGCGGAAAAGAAGAAGCCAAUAUGUGGGAAAAAGCAAGAGUUUCUUCUUGAUUCUGUUAGGAUUCACAGG